Molecule: ribosomal RNA, 253 nt
Filed under: uncultured bacterium
Lineage: Bacteria
Description: partial 16S ribosomal RNA
Rfam family: Bacterial small subunit ribosomal RNA
Source: RNAcentral
UACGGGGGGGGCAAGCGUUGUUCGGAAUUACUGGGCGUAAAGGGCUCGUAGGUGGCCAACUAAGUCAGACGUGAAAUCCCUCGGCUUAACCGGGGAACUGCGUCUGAUACUGGAUGGCUUGAAUUCGGGAGAGGGAUGCAGAAUUCCAGGUGUAGCGGUGAAAUGCGUAGAUAUCUGGAGGAAUACCGGUGGCGAAGGCGGCAUCCUGGACCGAGAUUGACACUGAUGAGCGAAAGCUAGGGGAGCAAACGGG